GCUGACACAUCCCAGCCAAUCUCCAGCAGACCCUCCCUCCCAGACCCUCCCACCUCCUGGACAGCAUCCAUGUUGAAGCUGCCUUCAACAUGGAUGCUGUCCAGGAGGUGGGAGGGUCUGGGAGGGAGGGCCUGCUGGAGAUUGGCCGGGAUGUGUCAG
RNAcentral lists this microRNA precursor (159 nucleotides) under Pelobates cultripes (western spadefoot toad). The record is from RNAcentral. Lineage: Eukaryota; Metazoa; Chordata; Amphibia; Anura; Pelobatidae.